UACGUAGGGGGCAAGCGUUGUCCGGAUUUAUUGGGCGUAAAGAGCGUGUAGGCGGCCUGGUAGGUCAGCUGUGAAAACUCGAGGCUCAACCUCGAGACGCCGGUUGAAACCAUCAGGCUAGAGUCCGGAAGAGGAGAGUGGAAUUCCCGGUGUAGCGGUGAAAUGCGCAGAUAUCGGGAAGAACACCCGUGGCUAAGGCGGCUCUCUAGUACGGUACUGACGCUGAGACGUGAAAGCGUGGGGAGCGAACAGG
This 253-nucleotide ribosomal RNA is filed under the name uncultured bacterium. RNAcentral describes it as "partial 16S ribosomal RNA". It matches the Rfam family "Bacterial small subunit ribosomal RNA", at positions 524 to 776 of the family's 1533-position model. The record is from RNAcentral.